AGCGUACACGGUGGAUGCCCUGGCAGUCAGAGGCGAUGAAGGACGUGCUAAUCUGCGAAAAGCGCCGGCGAGGUGAUAUGAACCUUUGACCCGGCGAUGUCCGAAUGGGGAAACCCAGUGCAAUCCGUUGCACUAUCGUUAACUGAAUACAUAGGUUAACGAGGCGAACCGGGGGAACUGAAACAUCUAAGUACCCCGAGGAAAAGAAAUCAACCGAGAUUCCCCCAGUAGCGGCGAGCGAACGGGGAGCAGCCCGGAGUCUGAAUCAGCUUGUGUGUUAGUGGAACGGUCUGGAAAGUCCGACGGUACAGGGUGAUAGUCCCGUACACGAAAGCACACAUGCUGUGAACUCGAAGAGUAGGGCGGGACACGUGGUAUCCUGUCUGAAUAUGGGGGGACCAUCCUCCAAGGCUAAAUACUCCUGACUGACCGAUAGUGAACCAGUACCGUGAGGGAAAGGCGAAAAGAACCCCGGCGAGGGGAGUGAAAAAGAACCUGAAACCGUGUACGUACAAGCAGUGGGAGCCUCUUUAUGGGGUGACUGCGUACCUUUUGUAUAAUGGGUCAGCGACUUAUAUUCUGUAGCAAGGUUAACCGUAUAGGGGAGCCGAAGGGAAACCGAGUCUUAACUGGGCGUUAAGUUGCAGGGUAUAGACCCGAAACCCGGUGAUCUAGCCAUGGGCAGGUUGAAGGUUGGGUAACACUAACUGGAGGACCGAACCGACUAAUGUUGAAAAAUUAGCGGAUGACCUGUGGCUGGGGGUGAAAGGCCAAUCAAACCGGGAGAUAGCUGGUUCUCCCCGAAAGCUAUUUAGGUAGCGCCUCGUGAACUCAUCUUCGGGGGUAGAGCACUGUUUCGGCUAGGGGGCCAUCCCGGCUUACCAACCCGAUGCAAACUACGAAUACCGAAGAAUGUUAUCACGGGAGACACACGGCGGGUGCUAACGUCCGUCGUGAAGAGGGAAACAACCCAGACCGCCAGCUAAGGUCCCAAAGUCAUGGUUAAGUGGGAAACGAUGUGGGAAGGCACAGACAGCCAGGAUGUUGGCUUAGAAGCAGCCAUCAUUUAAAGAAAGCGUAAUAGCUCACUGGUCGAGUCGGCCUGCGCGGAAGAUGUAACGGGGCUAAACCAUGCACCGAAGCUGCGGCAGCGACACUAUGUGUUGUUGGGUAGGGGAGCGUUCUGUAAGCCGUCGAAGGUGUCCUGUGAGGGGUGCUGGAGGUAUCAGAAGUGCGAAUGCUGACAUAAGUAACGAUAAAGCGGGUGAAAAGCCCGCUCGCCGGAAGACCAAGGGUUCCUGUCCAACGUUAAUCGGGGCAGGGUGAGUCGACCCCUAAGGCGAGGCCGAAAGGCGUAGUCGAUGGGAAACAGGUUAAUAUUCCUGUACUUGGUGUUACUGCGAAGGGGGGACGGAGAAGGCUAUGUCAGCCGGGCGACGGUUGUCCCGGUUUAAGCAUGUAGGCGGAGGUUCCAGGUAAAUCCGGUACCUUAUUAACGCUGAGGUGUGAUGACGAGGCACUACGGUGCUGAAGUGAUAAAUGCCCUGCUUCCAGGAAAAGCCUCUAAGCAUCAGGUAACACGAAAUCGUACCCCAAACCGACACAGGUGGUCAGGUAGAGAAUACCAAGGCGCUUGAGAGAACUCGGGUGAAGGAACUAGGCAAAAUGGUGCCGUAACUUCGGGAGAAGGCACGCUGAUAUGUAGGUGAAGUCCCUGCGGACGGAGCUGAAAUCAGUCGAAGAUACCAGCUGGCUGCAACUGUUUAUUAAAAACACAGCACUGUGCAAACACGAAAGUGGACGUAUACGGUGUGACGCCUGCCCGGUGCCGGAAGGUUAAUUGAUGGGGUUAGCGGCAACGCGAAGCUCUUGAUCGAAGCCCCGGUAAACGGCGGCCGUAACUAUAACGGUCCUAAGGUAGCGAAAUUCCUUGUCGGGUAAGUUCCGACCUGCACGAAUGGCGUAAUGAUGGCCAGGCUGUCUCCACCCGAGACUCAGUGAAAUUGAACUCGCUGUGAAGAUGCAGUGUACCCGCGGCAAGACGGAAAGACCCCGUGAACCUUUACUAUAGCUUGACACUGAACACUGGUCCUUGAUGUGUAGGAUAGGUGGGAGGCUUUGAAGCGUGGACGCCAGUCUGCGUGGAGCCAACCUUGAAAUACCACCCUUUAAUGGCUGGUGUUCUAACGUAGACCCGUAAUCCGGGUUGCGGACAGUGUCUGGUGGGUAGUUUGACUGGGGCGGUCUCCUCCCAAAGAGUAACGGAGGAGCACGAAGGUUGGCUAAUCCUGGUCGGACAUCAGGAGGUUAGUGCAAUGGCAUAAGCCAGCUUGACUGCGAGCGUGACGGCGCGAGCAGGUGCGAAAGCAGGUCAUAGUGAUCCGGUGGUUCUGAAUGGAAGGGCCAUCGCUCAACGGAUAAAAGGUACUCCGGGGAUAACAGGCUGAUACCGCCCAAGAGUUCAUAUCGACGGCGGUGUUUGGCACCUCGAUGUCGGCUCAUCACAUCCUGGGGCUGAAGUAGGUCCCAAGGGUAUGGCUGUUCGCCAUUUAAAGUGGUACGCGAGCUGGGUUUAGAACGUCGUGAGACAGUUCGGUCCCUAUCUGCCGUGGGCGCUGGAGAAUUGAGGGGGGCUGCUCCUAGUACGAGAGGACCGGAGUGGACGCAUCACUGGUGUUCGGGUUGUCAUGCCAAUGGCACUGCCCGGUAGCUAAAUGCGGAAGAGAUAAGUGCUGAAAGCAUCUAAGCACGAAACUUGCCCCGAGAUGAGUUCU
This 2774-nucleotide ribosomal RNA is filed under the name Enterobacter cloacae. Its description in RNAcentral is "bacterial LSU rRNA". It matches the Rfam family "Bacterial large subunit ribosomal RNA". The record is from RNAcentral. Lineage: Bacteria; Pseudomonadati; Pseudomonadota; Gammaproteobacteria; Enterobacterales; Enterobacteriaceae.